RNAcentral lists this ribosomal RNA (276 nucleotides) under uncultured prokaryote. RNAcentral describes it as "partial 16S ribosomal RNA". It matches the Rfam family "Bacterial small subunit ribosomal RNA", at positions 524 to 800 of the family's 1533-position model. The record is from RNAcentral.
UACGUAGGUGGCAAGCGUUAUCCGGAAUUAUUGGGCGUAAAGGGUGCGUAGGUGGUUUCUUAAGUCAGAGGUGAAAGACUACGGCUCAACCGUAGUAAGCCUUUGAAACUGGGAAACUUGAGUGCAGGAGAGGAGAGUGGAAUUCCUAGUGUAGCGGUGAAAUGCGUAGAUAUUAGGAGGAACACCAGUUGCGAAGGCGGCUCUCUGGACUGUAACUGACACUUAUGCACGAAAGCGUGGGGAGCGAACAGGAUUAGAUACCCUGGUAGUCCCUGA